RNAcentral lists this ribosomal RNA (805 nucleotides) under uncultured bacterium. RNAcentral's name for it is "bacterial SSU rRNA". It matches the Rfam family "Bacterial small subunit ribosomal RNA", at positions 95 to 899 of the family's 1533-position model. The record is from RNAcentral.
CCGGCAAACGGGUGCGUAACACGUACGCAAUCUACCCACUACAGGGGAAUAGCCCAGGGAAACUUGGAUUAAUACCCCAUAUUAUAUGGAGUUGGCAUCAACUUUAUAUCAAAGCUUCGGCGGUAGUGGAUGAGCGUGCGGUUGAUUAGAUAGUUGGCGGGGUAACGGCCCACCAAGUCUACGAUCAAUAGCUGAUGUGAGAGCAUGAUCAGCCACACGGGCACUGAGACACGGGCCCGACUCCUACGGGAGGCAGCAGUAAGGAAUAUUGGGCAAUGGACGCAAGUCUGACCCAGCCAUGCCGCGUGAAGGAUGAAGGUCCUCUGGAUUGUAAACUUCUUUUAUCUGGGGCGAAAACAACUCUUUCUAGGGUUCUUGACAGUACCAGAGGAAUAAGCAUCGGCUAACUCCGUGCCAGCAGCCGCGGUAAUACGGAGGGUGCAAGCGUUAUCCGGAUUCACUGGGUUUAAAGGGUGCGUAGGCGGGUUAGUAAGUCAGUGGUGAAAUCCCCGAGCUUAACUUGGGAACUGCCGUUGAUACUAUUAGUCUUGAAUAUCGUGGAGGUAAGCGGAAUAUGUCAUGUAGCGGUGAAAUGCUUAGAUAUGACAUAGAACACCAAUUGCGAAGGCAGCUUGCUACUCGAUUAUUGACGCUGAGGCACGAAAGCGUGGGGAUCAAACAGGAUUAGAUACCCUGGUAGUCCACGCCCUAAACGAUGAAUGCUAGCCGUUGGGGAGCUUGCUCUUCAGUGGCGCAGUUAACACUUUAAGCAUUCCGCCUGGGGAGUACGGUCGCAAGAUUAAAA